GCAUAUCAUGAGCGGAGGAAAAGAAACCAACAGGGAUUGCCUCAGUAACGGCGAAGUGAAGCGGCAACAGCUCAAAUUUGAAAUCUGGCCUCGGCCCGAGUUGUAAUUUGCAGAGGAAGCUUUAGGCGCGGCACCUUCUGAGUCCCCUGGAACGGGGCGCCAUAGAGGGUGAGAGCCCCGUAUAGUUGGAUGCCUAGCCUGUGUAAAGCUCCUUCGACGAGUCGAGUAGUUUGGGAAUGCUGCUCAAAAUGGGAGGUAAAUUUCUUCUAAAGCUAAAUACCGGCCAGAGACCGAUAGCGCACAAGUAGAGUGAUCGAAAGAUGAAAAGCACUUUGAAAAGAGGGUUAAAUAGCACGUGAAAUUGUUGAAAGGGAAGCGCUUGUGACCAGACUUGCGCCGGGCAGAUCAUCCGGUGUUCUCACCGGUGCACUCUGCCCGGCUCAGGCCAGCAUCGGUUCUCGCGGGGGGAUAAAGGCGUCGGGAACGUAGCUCCUCCGGGAGUGUUAUAGCCCGUCGCGUAAUGCCCUCGCGGGGACCGAGGUUCGCGCAUCUGCAAGGAUGCUGGCGUAAUGGUCAUCAGCGACCCGUCUUGAAACACGGACCAAGGAGUCAAGGUUUUGCGCGAGUGUUUGGGUGUAAAACCCGCACGCGUAAUGAAAGUGAACGUAGGUGAGAGCUUCGGCGCAUCAUCGACCGAUCCUGAUGUUUUCGGAUGGAUUUGAGUAGGAGCGUUAAGCCUUGGACCCGAAAGAUGGUGAACUAUGCUUGGAUAGGGUGAAGCCAGAGGAAACUCUGGUGGAGGCUCGCAGCGGUUCUGACGUGCAAAUCGAUCGUCAAAUCUGAGCAUGGGGGGCGAAAGACUAAUCGAACCAUCUAGUAGCUGGUUACCGCCGA
Molecule: ribosomal RNA, 894 nt
Filed under: Chaetomium fimeti
Lineage: Eukaryota; Fungi; Ascomycota; Sordariomycetes; Sordariales; Chaetomiaceae
Description: LSU rRNA
Rfam family: Eukaryotic large subunit ribosomal RNA
Source: RNAcentral